UACGUAGGUGGCAAGCGUUGUCCGGAAUUAUUGGGCGUAAAGCGCGUGCAGGCGGUCCUUUAAGUUUGAUGUGAAAGCCCACGGCUCAACCGUGGAGGGUCAUUGGAAACUGGGGGACUUGAGUGCAGAAGAGGAAAGCGGAAUUCCACGUGUAGCGGUGAAAUGCGUAGAGAUGUGGAGGAACACCAGUGGCGAAGGCGGCUUUCUGGUCUGUAACUGACGCUGAGGCGCGAAAGCGUGGGGAGCAAACAGG
Molecule: ribosomal RNA, 253 nt
Filed under: uncultured bacterium
Lineage: Bacteria
Description: partial 16S ribosomal RNA
Rfam family: Bacterial small subunit ribosomal RNA
Source: RNAcentral